GGCAGUGUAGCGUAAUGGGUAAGGAGUUUGUCUAGUAACCUAAAGCUUAUGGGUUCGAUUCCCGGGUAGGACACUGCCG
RNAcentral lists this transfer RNA (79 nucleotides) under Anguilla anguilla (European eel). Its description in RNAcentral is "tRNA-OTHER". Lineage: Eukaryota; Metazoa; Chordata; Actinopteri; Anguilliformes; Anguillidae. The record is from RNAcentral.